UGCUCAUCCCAGAGCACAUUUGGGGAAAAUGAUGCUGCACAAAAGCCCCAGAAACACCCGCUAGGUUGGGAGGCCUGGGAAAGCAACUCAGAACAUCCUGGGCAUCCCACGGCGCUGGCCUUUUUAGACUGCUUUUCUAAUCCCCAGGAGAGCACCCAGUAGUGGGAAAUGAGUACCCGUGAAUCACACAGAUGCUGUAUUUGACCUUAAAAUCAUCCCAGAUUCCGGAAGAAAGAGAUGGAAAUCAGCUUCUGAGGAAUAUGGGUUGGAGAAGCCCUCCACGCCUCAGGUCCUCUGCAUUUUGCUCCUGCCCUUUUGAGGAUUCACCUGGAAAAAGCCAUGCCCCACCCUUAUGAGAAUUUGGAGUUGGGGCUUCUUUCAGGAUAGAAGAACUGGGGACUAGAAGAGAAUACCUGGUGACUCCAAUAUGCAGCCGACAUUAAGAGCCACUGACAAAUGUCACGUAGAGAAUGACUGGUCCUCUCUGGGGAGGGGCUUCAGAAAAGCCGUUCUAUUUGGGACAGACCCAAAACAGGAGCAGCAUGGGGACAGAGGACAGAGUCUUCACAAGGGGGACAAAGAAGAGAGUGGGAAGAAAAGAGGAGUCACUGAGGGAAGCAAAGAUGGACGGGCUGAGCUCGAUUCUGCCCUCCCACAACCGUGGUGGUUCUCCUGGGAGGAUGCUUGGCCAUUUGUGCCUUUUGGAAGACAAGCCUGAAGACCACAAAAUAAGAAGAAGAAAGGCAGUACUGAAAGUGAGGGAAGCACCCAGGACAUAGGACUUGGCAAGAAAGCAGCUGUCUACAAGGGAGAGGCCUUCCCCACGAACCAAACAAGAGAUGCUGUAAUCCUGGACCAGCAGAAAAGUGACAGGUUUGGAGCUAGAUUCGACAGAAUUUGGGUGACUACACUCGGGAAGUGUGGAGGAGGUGUCAAAUAUAACUUCAAAGUUCCUAUCCUGGGCUUCCAAGGGGCUCCUCCUCAGAGCCAUCGAGGACCCACAACUCAGCAUCCUCAAGGAGAAAGGAAGGCCAUAGAAUCUUUUUCCAGCAAUUAAAUGCGCUGACUGAAAUCCUAAAUAUUACUUCUGCUCUCAAGUCAUUGGCCAGAACUAGUCACGUGGCCUCAUCGAACCAAAAGGGGCCAGGAAAUACAGUCUUCUUUUGUUCUACACAAAGUACAGAGCCAUAAAUAGUCCAGUGAAUUGCAUAAAUGACUAACAACUAACACAUAAUUGCUUAUUUGACACCAAGAAAAAAACAAAGAUUUCUAGAGUAAAGGAUUACCCCUCCCAGUGGUAUUUGUGAGUACUAUACAAUGAAGCUUCUUGUGUUCAAUUCCCUAACUACACAGGAAAGACCAGAUAAUGGGGAAAACGUGGAAACACUCCUCAAUUCAUGCCCUCUGUUUGGUUGUUUCACUCACUGUUCUCUUAGCAUAUCCAAUGUUAUAUAAAUCUGCGCCGAAGAGAAGAAGGUGGGGUGAGAAUGUGUAACAAGAGUUUGCUGAGCAAUUUCAGUUUGGUGGAGGGAGGUGAUGUGAUGCACAGGAAAAAGAACUGGAAAGCAAGUCAGAAACCUGUCAGGGGCAAUGAGCUAAUGACAUUAAACAAAAGACGCUCACCGCUAGCUGCUAGCUUUCUGGAAAUUCAUGAACAGAAGAGUCAGCAUGAAGAUCGCAGUAUUGCAUCAGCCUGAACAUGCUGUAGUUAAUGCAGAGUUCAAAGGAAAGAAACAUCUGAAUUUACGGGGGAAAGAGGCAUAAAUGAUGCACAGAGGCAGCGGUGGGAAAAGAACAGAGACAUUUGUUGUUUUGGGACUCAGGAGAACUGCUGAGCUUGAGCGGGAAGGCUCGCCGUGGUAACAAGUUGAGUUUCAAGAAAACGGAAGAGGAGACGAAUCAUGUUCUCGUGCCCUUGCACACGCUAUAAAAGUGCUAAUAAAGCCUAGCAGAGGAAUAAGCUCCUAAUGUCACCAGUGAUGUAGUGUUGAGGGUCCUUCGUUAGAGCCGAAAGCAGGAGGGAGGAAUCUCAAAGAUUUGUGUGUACCUCGGUUUGGCAAUUUCAGGGAAGUGGAGACUUAGGGUCACCCCACAUCCAAUCUCUCAGCCGGUUCUGCUGUUUCUACCUUGAACAUGCAACCAAAAAUAGAAUCUAUCUUACCACUUUCAGUUAAGCCCCUCUAAUCUCUUACCUGGAUUUUUACAGUAGCCUUCUAACUCAUCUGUUUAAAUCCUGGCCUCCAGACAUCAUUUUCUUUGAGGUCACCUUAAUGAUCUCUUAGAAUACAAUCAUUUCUCUUCCUGAAAUUCUUCAGUGACUUUGCGUUCUCCUCAGAGGAUUCCAAGGCCUUCCCCUCAUCUGGAAAACGCUGCAGCAGUGGGGGCAAACCUGUGGCAUGUGUGCUGCAGUGGGCUGUUUGUAUCAUUGAAAGCUCUAGAAGGUUUGCCCUAGCCGCUCUACAGGAUCCAGUCCUCUGAAUCUGGGGCUUUGUGAUGGUUAAGAUAAUUGUGCCAGUUUGAUUGACUAGAAGCUGCCCAAGGGGAGGUCAUGGAGGUGUGACCUUGGGCACCAUAUAUGGUCCCUGGUUCCUUUUUCCUUGGCACCAUUCCCUGGCUGUACUUCCUGGCUGCCAUGAACUAAGUGUCUUUGCUCUGUCCUGCCCUUCCACCAUGAUGUAUGUAUUUUGGUACCAGCCAACCAUGAACUGAACUCUCUGACAUCAUGAACCAAAUAAAACCUCUCCUUUAAGUUGUGGGUACCAAGUAUUGCAUCACAAAAAUGGGAAAACUGACUAAUAGAGGACCUUAUCCCCUGUCAUUCCUAUGCAAUUGGAAGUAACAAUUGACAUUGCACUGUUACUUCCUCUGCCUCAGGGCCUUUGCACAGGCUGCCCUUUGUGUUUGGGAGUCUCUUCUCUCCAGAGAUUUGCUCCCAUACCUCCCCUGUGGCUCUGCUCAAAUGUUAUCUUAUCAGUUAGUCUAAAGAUAUAAAUUGUGUUUAAAAGGGCAUCCCCCAUCCCCAGUCUUGCGAGUCCUAUUCCUACCCUUAAAGCAUCAUUUUGUAACCAGUUUUGCCUAAAAUGGGUUGCUGCAUGCCACAUACUUCGUAUCCCAAUAUAAAGAAGCUCCAUGAGGGCAGACAAAUUUGUGUUUUGUUUAUUCACUAUGGUAAUCCAGCCCCCGAGUACAAGACCUGCCAAGAGUAUGAGGCCAAUUAAUUUAUGUUGAUUUAAUAGGCUGAAAUUUACCCCAAGCUUAUGACCUCGUGGGUGUAGCAUCAAAGAAAUCUUCAAGGGACAAGGGAUUUCUUUUUCUUGAAAAGCUUUGUGUGAAUUCAAAGCCUCCUGCUACCGCCUCUCAGCUGCCAUGGAUACAGGUUUCUUAAAGGGGUCAAGGAUGCCACAGAUGCUUUACAUUAGCUUUUAUGUGCUCCAUAAAAUUAACAACAAGCAAACCUGGAAUAAUGGAGCUGUAACUCUGCCUUGCAAUUCUGAUCCGUUACAGACUGUAAGAGCUUGGCUCUGGAGGCUGGAAGCUGUUUCCAGAGCCCGCAAUGGAAUUAUAGCUCUGUAAUUCAUUUACUCUUAUUCGUUUUAUAUAUGUUUACAGAUGGAGUAAAAAAAAAAAUCACACAGCCAGCAAAACCAAAGAAGAAAAGAUACCUAGUAGUUUUCAUUUUUAAAUUAUAAUCAUUAUGUAAGAUACAACAUUUUACCACACUAUAGCUCUUCUAAGCUAAAUAAGAAAUAACAGCCAAGUAAACAUAAUAAGAUAGCUUCUUUAAAGAAUGAAUAUUACCUUGCUCUGUCUUCAAGGAUGUUAUUUUCAAUAGCAGUAUCAAUUCACAAAGAGAAGUCAAGAGAAUAGUUAUGGAUUUUUAGCCAGUGGGACUGAUGUAUGUAAAUAAGAGCAGAGAAAGUAUUGGGUAAUAACCUUGAAAGGCCUCCCACAGCAGGUUUCAACUACACAAACAAUGAUAAUCUGUGAGCUUUCAUCAUCUAUGUCCACCCAAGUUUCUAAUGAAAUAAACUUCAUGGAAAAUAAACAAGAAUACACAUAGGCUCAAAGAGACCUGGCUAAUGCCAGAUCUGUCUUUUGUGUUUAUUUAAAACCAAAAAAAAUUUUUUUUCCAAGAUGGGAUCUUGCUGUGUUACACGGGCUGGCCCCUAGCUCCUAGGCUCAGGGAGCCUCCUGCCUCAGCCUUCUCUACAGGCAGGCUCCAGAAUGCCCAGCUCUGUCUGAAAUUACCAAGUGCUCAGGCUGGGCAUGUGACCUGUACCUGCAGUCACAGCUACUUGAAAGGGCAAGGUAAAAGAAUGGCUUUAGCCCAGGAGUUUGACAUCAGCCUGGGCAGCGUAAUGAGACUCUGUCUCUCAUCCAUCAGUAAAAUAAUUCCAAAUAUUCAAAAGUGGUUUCUUAGAAAAAACCAUUGAGAGGAAAUGACACUUCCACUGCACCAGCUAAAACCUGGGUAAUGAUAAGAUACAUCCUUUCCUCAACCAAAAGGCGAUCGUUUGUUUUUUUCUUUUCUUUUCUUUUCUUUUUUUUUUUUUUUUUUUUGAGAAGGAACAUUAAGGACCUGCAGCUUCUCUUUGUGUGAUUUCAAUCCGUGAGACCCUCGGCAUCCUCUUCUACAGCCUAUUUCAUGAGCAAACUGCUGAGCAGCCCCCGGAGGGUGUGUAUAGGAUUUUACAAAUGUUUUUCCUGUUCCAAUCAGAUAUGACCUUUCAAAUGAAUAAUACAGUACAUAAGAAAACUCCCCACAAGAUUUCUAGAAAAAUUUGGCAAAUUCAAUUCACAAACACUUUUAGGUGCCUAUUAUGUGUGGAUCAUAAUUCUAGGUACCAAGACUACAACUGUAAACAAAACGGACCAAACACCCUUGCCUUCAUGAAGCUUCUGGGUUAGGCGUGGGGUGCAGACAAUAAGCAAAGUCACAAAUGCUUCAGGUGGUAACUGCUGUGCACUGCGGAGGAAAAUCAAGUGAGGCUGUGCCAGGGAAGGUGAGUGAGGUGCAGCUCCCUAAGGAAUUAGGGCUGCCCCCAUUGGGAAGAACACACAUAAGCAAAGACUUGAAGGAAGCCAAUACUAGAAGAACUUUCCCAGCAGCGGGGACUUCAAACGCAAAGAACCUGUAGUGAAGGCAUGCCUGGCAUGGGAGGAGAGCACGAGGGGGCAAGGAGGGACCAGUGGAGGAGGUCCAUUGUACAGCAACUCUGGCUUUCCCCCAGUAAGAACCAUGGGAUGGUGUAGUAAUGUGUUAUGAUCAAGGUUUCCAGAGCAUCCCUCUGGCUGUUUUGAUGAGAGUUGGUACGGUGGGCUGAGAGGCAAAAGUAGAGAAAGGGAGACCCGUUAGGAGGCUACCAUAUUGAUGCAGGCAGAAGAGGGUUGCUAGAUGGUAAUCAGUCAUGGAGCUCACAUAGCCUGGUUGAGUUCUGUGUACAUUUUGAAUACAAAUAAAAGAGGAAAGGGACAACAAAUUGAGACACUUCCAAAGAUUCAUGUGACCACUUUAGAGAUGUAUGAUCCUGUCCCAGCUGGGUCCAGGGUCAUGUUACCAGUUUUUCACGGGUACCUGGGAAACUCUUAAAGAAUAGUUCACAGUGGGAUCCUUGAGAGAGUUUCAGAGCCCAUGUGAGAAUUAAACAGCCUCCAGUCAAAGGAAGGUGCGAUGUGCCUGCUCCUCUAUACGCGCAAUGUGGAGAGGGUAGCACCCUGACCCUCGUCUGGUUUUGCUUUCUCACCUGUAACACCAUGCCGGGCACCGUGAGAAUCAGAGCCACACAGUACUAUUUCUGGGCUCUAGCGUUCCCAGGUGAGCUGGAGAGGUACAUGAGGUCAUCUCCUCCUCUUCCUCUGCUCUGCUUUCCUCCUCCUCUUCCGCCUCUGCCAAAAACACCAAGAACGGAUACACGCUGACUCAUGGUCCUGGUGAUGUGAACUCCACAGGGAUUGUGCUUGUUUUUUUCCUCCCUGCAGGCUCCUCCGUCUGCUGUCUAGAGCUUGUUUAUGCAGUGUUCCCCUCAGGAGCCUCGCUGCCUCUGACUCCCUUGUAUAAUUUUUCUCUUGGCCCUAUUUUAGGUAAAAUCCCCAAACCAGACAGGUCCUAGCCCUACAGACCCCAGGAUCAACCCAAGAUUACUUGGGAUCUUCAACUCAGAUGCUGUGAUCCAUCGUCCAGAUCGUUUGGACCUUUUAAUGAGUGAGCUGUCCCAGUGCCUGAGACCUACAGAAGGUCAUUAUCAUUUUGGUUCUUGACACCUUUGAAAUUACAGCUGAGAUUUCUAUAAUGGAGAUCUUGUGUGCCAAGGAAACCUGAGUUUUCCUGUCUACUUAGUUUGCAAAUCGUGCCUUUUUAAGCAUAUGCUGUGGCAGAUGGUAGGUGAUACCGUGGUGUGUUUAGUUAGAUAGGAUCCUUGCUAAGGCUCACGUCCCAUCUGCACUCUCCAGAGGCCAGGACAUUCUGGUACCUAAGAAAUCUAUCAAAACCAAGAAGGCUUUUAAAACAGUAAGAAAUAGUAAGAAUGGUUCUGGGCUGAGUGUCUGCUAAUGAAAAUGCAGAGCUUCUCCUCCCAGAGUGGAAAAAAACCAGCUCUACCCAGGAUCAGCGAUUUUUCCAGGAAGGCUGUCACUGUGAUCUGUGAUGCACUAUCAAGAUGAAAUUGGAACCAAGUGUACUUUAUUCAGGACAUCUGUGAGAUUAAAAAAAAAAAAAAAAAAAAAGGAAGGAAGAAAGAAAGAAAAAGAAAAGAAAAAAUGUAUAUGCUCCUUUUCUAUCUUUGUGACAUUGUUCACAAAGAUGUGAUUUGGCUGUAAAACCAUUUGCACUGUAUCUCAAGGCUAAGGCUGACAAUUCAAAUAAAAGCCUCUCUUCUUCUCUGGUU
Long non-coding RNA from Cavia porcellus (domestic guinea pig), 6884 nucleotides. RefSeq lists it as uncharacterized. The transcript has 4 exons. The record is from RefSeq and is a predicted model, not a curated record. NCBI's taxonomy places the organism in Eukaryota, Metazoa, Chordata, Mammalia, Rodentia, Caviidae.